This 734-nucleotide ribosomal RNA is filed under the name uncultured archaeon. RNAcentral's name for it is "bacterial SSU rRNA". It matches the Rfam family "Archaeal small subunit ribosomal RNA", at positions 125 to 859 of the family's 1478-position model. The record is from RNAcentral.
GAUAACCUUGGGAAACUGAGGAUAAUACUGGAUAGGCAAUUAUUCCUGCAAUGGGUUUUUGUUUAAAUGUUUUUUCGCCUAAGGAUGGGUCUGCGGCCGAUUAGGUAGUUGGUUAGGUAAUGGCUUACCAAGCCGUUGAUCGGUACGGGUUGUGAGAGCAAGAGCCCGGAGAUGGAACCUGAGACAAGGUUCCAGGCCCUACGGGGUGCAGCAGGCGCGAAACCUCCGCAAUGUGAGAAAUCGCGACGGGGGGAUCCCAAGUGCCAUUCUUAACGGGAUGGCUUUUCAUUAGUGUAAAGAGCUUUUGGAAUAAGGGCUGGGCAAGACCGGUGCCAGCCGCCGCGGUAACACCGGCAGCUCUAGUGGUAGCAGUUUUUAUUGGGCCUAAAGCGUCCGUAGCCGGUUUAAUAAGUCUCUGGUGAAAUCCUGUAGCUUAACUGUGGGAAUUGCUGGAGAUACUAUUAGACUUGAGACCGGGAGAGGUUAGAGGUACUCCCAGGGUAGAGGUGAAAUUCUGUAAUCCUGGGAGGACCGCCUGUUGCGAAGGCGUCUAACUGGAACGGUUCUGACGGUGAGGGACGAAAGUUAGGGGCGCGAACCGGAUUAGAUACCCGGGUAGUCCUAACCGUAAACGAUGCGGACUUGGUGUUGGGGUGGCUUUGAGCUGCUCCAGUGCCGAAGGGAAGCUGUUAAGUCCGCCGCCUGGGAAGUACGGUCGCAAGACUGAAACUUAA